CUCGUAGGCGGCCAACUAAGUCAGACGUGAAAUCCCUCGGCUUAACCGGGGAACUGCGUCUGAUACUGGAUGGCUUGAGGUUGGGAGAGGGAUGCGGAAUUCCAGGUGUAGCGGUGAAAUGCGUAGAUAUCUGGAGGAACACCGGUGGCGAAGGCGGCAUCCUGGACCAAAUCUGACGCUGAGGAGCGAAAGCAGGGGAGCAAACG
RNAcentral lists this ribosomal RNA (206 nucleotides) under uncultured bacterium. Its description in RNAcentral is "partial 16S ribosomal RNA". It matches the Rfam family "Bacterial small subunit ribosomal RNA", at positions 568 to 774 of the family's 1533-position model. The record is from RNAcentral.